GAUGAACGCUGGCGGCGUGCCUAAUACAUGCAAGUCGAGCGAACGGACGAGAAGCUUGCUUCUCUGAUGUUAGCGGCGGACGGGUGAGUAACACGUGGAUAACCUACCUAUAAGACUGGGAUAACUUCGGGAAACCGGAGCUAAUACCGGAUGAUAUUUUGAACCGCAUGGUUCAAAAGUGAAAGACGGUCUUGCUGUCACUUAUAGAUGGAUCCGCGCUGCAUUAGCUAGUUGGUAAGGUAACGGCUUACCAAGGCAACGAUGCAUAGCCGACCUGAGAGGGUGAUCGGCCACGCUGGAACUGAGACACGGUCCAGACUCCUACGGGAGGCAGCAGUAGGGAAUCUUCCGCAAAGGGCGAAAGCCUGACGGAGCAACGCCGCGUGAGUGAUGAAGGUCUUCGGAUCGUAAAACUCUGUUAUUAGGGAAGAACAUAUGUGUAAGUAACUGUGCACAUCUUGACGGUACCUAAUCAGAAAGCCACGGCUAACUACGUG
RNAcentral lists this ribosomal RNA (497 nucleotides) under uncultured bacterium. RNAcentral describes it as "partial 16S ribosomal RNA". It matches the Rfam family "Bacterial small subunit ribosomal RNA", at positions 28 to 507 of the family's 1533-position model. The record is from RNAcentral.